GUGCUUGCUUCAGCAGCACAUAUAAUAAAACCGGAAUGCUACAGAGAAGGUUAGCACAGCCCAGCUCAAGGAUGAUAUGUAAAUUCACGAAGUGUUUCUCAAGAAC
Molecule: small nuclear RNA, 106 nt
Organism: Choloepus hoffmanni (Hoffmann's two-fingered sloth)
Lineage: Eukaryota; Metazoa; Chordata; Mammalia; Pilosa; Megalonychidae
Source: Ensembl